CUGGUGCUCCUUUUGAGAAAUUACAUUCA
RNAcentral lists this non-coding RNA (29 nucleotides) under Mus musculus (house mouse). Lineage: Eukaryota; Metazoa; Chordata; Mammalia; Rodentia; Muridae. The record is from RNAcentral.